UACGUAGGUGGCAAGCGUUGUCCGGAUUUAUUGGGUUUAAAGGGUGCGUAGGCGGCUUAAUAAGUCAGUGGUGAAAGCCGGUAGCUUAACUAUCGAAAUGCCAUUGAUACUGCUAGGCUUGAGUACAGUUGAGGUAGGCGGAAUUGACAGUGUAGCGGUGAAAUGCUUAGAUAUUGUCAAGAACACCAAUUGCGAAGGCAGCUUACUAAAGUGUAACUGACGCUGAGGCACGAAAGUGCGGGGAUCAAACAGGAUUAGAUACCCUGGUAGUCCGCACUGUAAACGAUGAUCACUCGCUGUGUGCGAUAAACAGUACGCGGCUAAGCGAAAGCGAUAAGUGAUCCACCUGGGGAGUACGCCGGCAACGGUGAA
Molecule: ribosomal RNA, 372 nt
Filed under: uncultured bacterium
Lineage: Bacteria
Description: bacterial SSU rRNA
Rfam family: Bacterial small subunit ribosomal RNA
Source: RNAcentral